Molecule: ribosomal RNA, 504 nt
Filed under: uncultured bacterium
Lineage: Bacteria
Description: partial 16S ribosomal RNA
Rfam family: Bacterial small subunit ribosomal RNA
Source: RNAcentral
AUUGAACGCUGGCGGCAUGCCUUACACAUGCAAGUCGAACGGCAGCAUAGAGAGCUUGCUCUCUGAUGGCGAGUGGCGAACGGGUGAGUAAUGCAUCGGAACGUACCGUGUAAUGGGGGAUAACGUAGCGAAGGUUACGCUAAUACCGCAUACGACCUGAGGGUGAAAGCAGGGGAUCGCAAGACCUUGCGUUAUACGAGCGGCCGAUGUCAGAUUAGCUAGUUGGUGAGGUAAAGGCUCACCAAGGCGACGAUCUGUGGCGGGGCUGAGAGGAUGAUCCGCCACACUGGGACUGAGACACGGCCCAGACUCCUACGGGAGGCAGCAGUGGGGAAUUUUGGACAAUGGGGGCAACCCUGAUCCAGCCAUGCCGCGUGAGUGAAGAAGGCCUUCGGGUUGUAAAGCUCUUUCGGCCGGGAAGAAAUCGCACAGGCUAAUACUCUGUGUGGAUGACGGUACCGGCAUAAGAAGCACCGGCUAACUACGUGCCAGCAGCCGCCGUAA